RNAcentral lists this ribosomal RNA (468 nucleotides) under uncultured bacterium. Its description in RNAcentral is "partial 16S ribosomal RNA". It matches the Rfam family "Bacterial small subunit ribosomal RNA", at positions 28 to 507 of the family's 1533-position model. The record is from RNAcentral.
GAUGAACGCUGGCGGCGUGCUUAACACAUGCAAGUCGAACGGUGAAGGCGGAGCUUGCUCUGCUGGAUCAGUGGCGAACGGGUGAGUAACACGUGAGGAAUCUGCCCCUGACUCUGGGAUAAGCGCUGGAAACGGCGUCUAAUACUGGAUACGAGCUGCGAAGGCAUCUUCAGCAGCUGGAAAGAACUUCGGUCAGGGAUGAGCUCGCGGCCUAUCAGCUUGUUGGUGAGGUAACGGCUCACCAAGGCGUCGACGGGUAGCCGGCCUGAGAGGGUGACCGGCCACACUGGGACUGAGACACGGCCCAGACUCCUACGGGAGGCAGCAGUGGGGAAUAUUGCACAAUGGGCGAAAGCCUGAUGCAGCAACGCCGCGUGAGGGACGACGGCCUUCGGGUUGUAAACCUCUUUUAGCAGGGAAGAAGCGAAAGUGACGGUACCUGCAGAAAAAGCGCCGGCUAACUACGUG